RNAcentral lists this transfer RNA (72 nucleotides) under Sphaerodactylus townsendi. RNAcentral describes it as "tRNA-Ala". It matches the Rfam family "tRNA". Rfam says of the family: Transfer RNA (tRNA) molecules are approximately 80 nucleotides in length. Their secondary structure includes four short double-helical elements and three loops (D, anti-codon, and T loops). Further hydrogen bonds mediate the characteristic L-shaped molecular structure. tRNAs have two regions of fundamental functional importance: the anti-codon, which is responsible for specific mRNA codon recognition, and the 3' end, to which the tRNAs corresponding amino acid is attached (by aminoacyl-tRNA synthetases). tRNAs cope with the degeneracy of the genetic code in two manners: having more than one tRNA (with a specific anti-codon) for a particular amino acid; and 'wobble' base-pairing, i.e. permitting non-standard base-pairing at the 3rd anti-codon position. Lineage: Eukaryota; Metazoa; Chordata; Lepidosauria; Squamata; Sphaerodactylidae. The record is from RNAcentral.
GGAGUCGUGGUUCAAUGGUAAAGCAUCUGCUUUGCAUGCAGAAGGUCCCCGGUUCAAUCUCCAACAUCUCCA